CGGCGGCCCGCUCCCACCCCCCGCAGCGCUGCGGAGCCGGGGCUCGGCGGUGCCCCCGUCCCCUCUCCCCUCGCCCUGAGGUAAGACCCGGGCAGGGGCGCCAGACGGCACGGCGCUGAGCGGCCCCGGGACGGAGAUGCCCUCCGGAGGGGCUGCGGGAGCACAGGUGUACUGCGGUGGUCUCGGCGCGUUUGUCAGCACCGGCACCCAGAGCACGGCAACGUUCAGUCCAGAAUCAGACGAUCUGCGGCUGACGUGUCGCUUCAGCCCCUGCUCAGCAGAACUACAAGCGAGGAGCAGCACGAGCACGUCCUGAAGUACAGAAGCACACCAGCCUGGAUCUAUGCUGCGACCCAGCAUUCCGCUUCCCUUCACAACAGCACCCUCAGCUCCGAGCUCCUCGUAGCCGAGAUGCUUUCAGCGAAGGCUGUACCCUGGGCCUCUCUGUGCCGGAGGCCAGCAGCACCUCCUGCCAUAAUCCAGCACAAAUGACACAGUGUUC
Molecule: long non-coding RNA, 502 nt
Filed under: Gallus gallus (chicken)
Lineage: Eukaryota; Metazoa; Chordata; Aves; Galliformes; Phasianidae
Description: long non-coding RNA NONGGAT007777
Source: RNAcentral